This 2864-nucleotide long non-coding RNA is filed under the name Equus caballus (horse). RNAcentral's name for it is "lncRNA (ENSECAG00000060256.1)". Lineage: Eukaryota; Metazoa; Chordata; Mammalia; Perissodactyla; Equidae. The record is from RNAcentral.
GUGAUAACCAUUCUUUCAUUUCUGAUGUUGGUAAUUUGUAUAUUAUCUCUUUUUUUCUUAUUUAGCCUGGCUAGAGAGGAGGGAAAAACUCCUUAAAUGAAGAAACUGCAAACUGCAAGGUUCUUUUGCUCUCCGACACACGACAGACGACACAUUUCAGGAACAUAAUAGUUACAUGAUGAGGAAACUGAGGCUCCAAGAGGUGAUGUAACUGAAGUCUCCCGGCUCAUAGGAGGCAGCACUGGUAUUAGAGGUCACAUUAGAGUCAGCAUAGCAGCCACACAGCAACAGAAGGCCACAUCAGCCAUGGAUCAUUGAGGGCUCGGAUUGACUUUGUUUCCCGGGGUCCUGUACGUCUGGAUUUGGGAAGGUCAGAGCCGGAUUCGCCAUGGCCCACAGGGGAAGAGAGGAUCCUGAGCAGAGCAUCGGCUGCAGCGACGACCCUCGUUCCCACCCCUGUGUUGAGGCCGGAGCACCGGACAGACCUGAGCUGCUGCCGCUCUUCUCUCGGCUGCUGUGACCACGCACACAAAUAGAAUUCAUCCCCAUUAGCCCUUGCUGACCUCCCUCUUGUCUAACAAGCAAGUGUAAAGGCUUCUCUGGAUUAAACUUGGCCCUUUAAGCCUCAGCAUAAAAAGAGAAAGAUCAAUGCCUUCAGGGCACAAAGAGCCAAAGUGCUUUCUCUUUUGGGAAACCACUCACCAGGAGUGAGCAGACACUCCGUCUCCCUUAAUAUGGAGCCACUACCCUCUUGGGACUGUUGUCCAGAAGUUUCUGCCUUAGUUUCCACCUCUUGUGCUCUUCUUUGCGGGUGGAGGAGGGGCUUGUCUGAUGAGUGAAUUCAGUGGACAUUGUCAUUCUGUAAUGCACACAAUUAAAUGAUGUUUGAUUUUCAGCAGCAUUGGUCCAGUGGAGGGCCAUUGUGCAGGCAAAUGCUUGCUGAGUCUGGCGCCAGACAACCAGGUCCCCUUCCGAGCUCUGCCCCGCCCUAGCUGAGUCAUCUUAGUCAAGUGACUUCACCUCUCUGGGCAUCAGUUUCCUCAUCUGCAAAGGAGGGUGGAGGUGUUCAGAGCCAAAUGUGUUUUGCGAGCUGUGAAGUGGAAAGCAGACAGGAGGCGGCAUUGCUGGGAGAGUUCAGAAUUACGUCGGUGUUUUUAUUUUCUCCUGGCUCUGUGCCUACUUCACGGAUAAUCUCUUUUAAUGAUCACAUCAGUCCUGUACAUUAUCAUGACCUUUGUAUCUAUAAAGAUGCUCAGACUCCCGCUCAAUGAAGCCACACCUCAAAAUGGCUCACAUAAUAACGACCGACAUUCAUCAUUGCAUGAUGAGAAGCUGGGGUGGCUGCGGUUUCAGGUUUGGUUGAUUCUGCCGCCCAAGGGCCGCUCUAGGAUUUUAGGAGAAUUAAGAAAGGGACCCCGGCAAGGUAUCAGCUUGGAUCCAAGACAGGGGAAGCGAGAAGAGGGUACCACUCGUUAACGUCUAUCGAGCAUUCAUGUUGCAAGACCUCGGGCAAACCCUUCGGACUCUGUGAGCCUCAGUUUCCCCAUGUGCACAAUUGGCUAAUAACAGCUUUUACCUCCCAGGUUGUCACGGGACUCAAUGAGAUGAUCCCUCGGCAUGGUGUCUGGUAGUCAGUGAGCACUGAGUAAGUGUCAGCUCCUAUUAUUGCUGGUGCCGUUGACGUGGUUGACGUCUGAAGGCUGUUGGCGAUUCCACUUGUUCUGUGUUGUCCCUGGAUGUCUAGCUGGGACCUUCAAGAGGAGCCUCCAGGAGGCAGAGUUCAGCUCUGGAGAGGGGGCUUUCGGAUCAGGUCUUGCAGAUCGGACCCCCCUGGAGCUCCCUGCUGGAUGAUGACGAGGACGAAUGCCAGCGGGUCUGGACCACUGCUCUCUACACCGGCCAUGGAAAAGGAUUGUCUUUGUCCUCUCCAGAUCCUGGCUCUGCUCUCUGCCUCCCCAUCCCCCAAACGAGGCAGCAGGUAGUGGAUGGUUGACAUGCCUGUUUCCUUCUCUGACAAGGUCAGUUGCCCUGUGAAUGUCUCCAUCCAUCUUACCUGGAGUCAAGCAGCUUCUCUGCCAAGUGUCCAGAACAGAGCCUGAAGGAGACAGGCUGUGUCCCUGACUCCUGCUGGAUCCCCAGGGAAUCCCGGGCCUUCCCCUUUGGAGGGAGAACACGCUGGCAGGGCUGCAGGCUUCUCAGGUGCUCUCAUCCAUCCUGAGCACAACUGGCUAGGAGGGCCUCCCUGGAGAGUGUGCAGAGCCUGAGGCCGGCUGCUUCCUUUGGGUGCAAGGGAGCACAAGGACAGGACGCCAACCCAGGUGCACCUUCAGAGCCAGGCCGUGUGCCAUCAAGAAGGCCCUGCCCCACGCUCCCCGCUUGUUCAACCAGCACAAAGGCAAAUGGCCAAGGGAAGAUUACUAAGCAUCUCUCAUGGGUCCCCUUCUCUCUCCCCUCUGCCCGACCCACAUCAGGCCCUGCUGGCCCUGCCUGGACACUGCCCAGUCCUCCUGGCCCCCAGACCUACCCUCACAUGGUUGUCAGGUGCUCUUUCUCAGGCACAGCCCUGACCUUGUCAGCCCCCUCCCUGCUUAGGAACAUGCCAGGGCUUUUCCUCUCCUACUCAAGGAAGCCACUCAGCUUUGCAGGGGAGGCUGACCUUGAUGAGGCCCAGUCACCGUCCUGCAGGAGGCUGUGUGGUGCAGUGGUAAGACCCCAACUUUGAAGCUGGACUACCUUGGUGAAAAUCUUGGCUUGGCCGUGACUCUGAAUGAGUUGCUUAACCUCUCAGAGCCUCAGUUGCUCCGUCUAUAAACUGGAGAUAAUAGUCAUAUGUAUCUCGUGCAAUUGUCACGCGGAUAAACGAG